UAUUUUAUCUUCUGCCGUACUCCGAAUAAAAUUAUAUAUUUAUUUCGUUUCACACUUAACCAGCAAAUUGCACAGUAAUAAUUAUGUUUCGCCACACGUUUAUUUUAUUUUCGUUGUUUUGCCUUAUUGCUGCAGGAGAACACAAACAUAGUUUUAUUGAACAAGAGCUUAAAAUUUGCGAAUUUGAAAGUAAUAAAAUCAGAUGUCCAGCAAAUAUGGUAAUUAGAAUAAUAUCUGCUGCUUAUGGUAAAUCUGGAAACGGAAACGUUUGUGAUGAAAAAAAAAACAUAGAAUGUUAUGCCUCAUCAUCUCUACCUAUUGUGCAUCAACA
This is a long non-coding RNA of Aethina tumida (small hive beetle), 331 nucleotides long. RefSeq lists it as uncharacterized. The record is from RefSeq and is a predicted model, not a curated record. The transcript is spliced from 3 exons. Lineage: Eukaryota; Metazoa; Arthropoda; Insecta; Coleoptera; Nitidulidae.